This 3013-nucleotide long non-coding RNA is filed under the name Citrus x clementina. RNAcentral describes it as "Citrus clementina (C. clementina) long non-coding RNA (CCLE_LNC006660)". The record is from RNAcentral. Lineage: Eukaryota; Viridiplantae; Streptophyta; Magnoliopsida; Sapindales; Rutaceae.
ACCUGCAUUAUGAAUUUAAAAAUAAAUAAGAAUUUUAUUUUGUUAAUAAAAAAGAAACAAAAUAAUGCCUCCUUAACAAACUUUUCUCAUAUAAGUAAAUUAGAAAAAUUAAAGUGUACUUAACUUCAAGUCACGCUUACAUUCAUCCAAACCAUUCAACUUUGACAUGUAAUCCAUAAAUGCUAGGUCAUUAAGGAUAUAAUAAGUAUAUAGCAAGAGGAUAAAAAUAGCAAUAGCUAGUACGAAAUGAAAAUCAAAUGUUGCAAUAAAUCAACUCAAACAUCAAUAAAGAAAUUCUAUAACUAUAUUUUUUAAUUCACAUGGGAGCCAUUUUAUUUUUCUUCACAAUCCAUCUACCCAAUUAAUCUUCUAUAGGAGUUUGUACCUAUGUUAGACAUAAGUUUAAGAAUAUGAACGAACUACACAAAUGCAAGGAGCAAUUAUGAUAACUUACUCAUGCCUUUGUACCAAUUAAAUAUCGCCUUAUGCAACAGUUUUUUUCUUCUUCUUUUUUAAUACUAGUGCAUUCAAUUUAACCUAAAAGAAUUAUCUAUUGAUGCUAAUCAUAUAAACAAAACAGGAGGCUAUCACGAAUUUUGAGAAACUUUUGAGAUUUUUCAACAUCUAGUCCUUUAAAUAACCAAGCAAUAUGGGCUAAUUGAUAACCUUGUUUGUGUCUAAUGACCAAUUUAAUAAGUCAAAUUCAAGUUUUCUAGCUUAACAAAUAAAACUCAAACACUACUAAGAGCAAACAAAUUUAGAUUAAUUUAAAUCUUCAUUUAAACAAGGCAAAAAGAAAACCACGAGCAUGAGACUAAAUUCGGCAAGAUAAAUCUUCACUUAUGGAUCUCACUUAAGCAUCAAUUGGUUGGAAUAAUGCAACAAUAACCAUUACCCUAACCAGAUAGAGGGAUUGAUAUUCACAGGCUUAAGUACAUAAGAAAUAAAAUCAACUCAAUAAGAGAAGUGACAAAACAACAGAAUCAACAGUACAACCAACAAAAGCUACAAAAGUGAAAUUAGUAAAGGAAAGUCCACAAAUAAUGAGACAUCAUAAAGAUCUACCUCAAUUGAAGUCUUCUCUCCUUUAAGAUGCCAAUGCAACCCAUAAAUGUCGUAGCUCAGGAGAAAAUUCAGGUUGUUAAGGAUCAAUCCUUUUACGUUGCAGGUUCUAAUUAAAUCAGUAUUGUACAAGAAAACAAUAUACAGAUUUCCCCUUCCAGACAUUGGUUUAUGGAGUAGAUUAAAGAGAAUAAAUUAAAGAUUCUAACAAGACCAAAAGCAUGAACGCAUAUCAAAUUCUAAUAGAUGUCCAUAUACUCAAAUUCAUAAGAUACAGUUUUCAGAUCCACCUUAGUAUUUGCUAACUACAAAGAAAUAAUUAAGAUGAAAAAAUCUAUCAUGUGAUUGAUAUACAAAAUUUCGAAUCGUUAAGGCACAAAUAAGAAUUUUCAGUCUUUAAUAUAUUACUUCUAAAUGUAAGAAAAAUAAAUUAACCAAACAUAAGAAAUUGAUCCAAAUAAAAAUGGAAUCAACAUAAGAAGUCCUAUAUUGAUAAUUGAAAACCCUAAAUUCGGUAAAUUAAAUUAAAAAAAUAAAGCUUACAUGUAAAUAUUGAUGAGAAAGAUUUAACAGAAGACCCAACAGCAACAAGUCUUGAGACAAUAAAGAAUUAACGAUUAGAACUUUUUGAUUUUGAGAGAUCUACUAAAAAAACAAAAGAAAUUGACAAAUCAGGGGAUUUGGACAAUAAAGAAUUAACGAUUACAACUUUUUGCUUUUGAGAGAUCUACUAAAAAAACAAAAGAAAUUGACAAAUCAGGGGAUUUGGACAAUAAAGAAUUAACGAUUACAACUUUUUGCUUUUGAGAGAUCUACUAAAAAAACAAAAGAAAUUGACAAAAUCAGGGGAUUUGGGGAGGAAUCCAGGGAGAGACAGAAAAAGAAGGGGCCUUAGGCUUUAGGUGUCCUAUGAUAAUGGACAAAUUUUGGGAAAAGAGAGCGCCCACGUGUUUCUAAUCUUGGCGGUAUAUUUAUUUACUUAUUUUUUUCCUUUUUUUAGCAUUUUUCAAGUGUUACAAAGGUGUGUUUUUUCGUAGCAUUUUAAAAGAGCUACGUUAGUUAAUAUAAAUAUGACAUUUAAAAAAAUGCUACUAAUGGAAUAAAAAAUUCUAGACAGCAGAGCAUAAAAAAUUAAUUAAUUCAAACACGGAAAUUUGAUCAUACUCCACUAAAUUUGAUUCCUUUUUCUUGUCCAUCUUUCAUCUUUUUAUUUGGUAGCUAGCUUGCUUCAAAAUAUACAAGUUUCCUCUGCUGGCGGCAUUACUCUAAUAAGCUCUAUUGCUCCAACGUGCAAUUAAAUAUAUAUUUUUUAAAAUUAAUCUUGUAAUAACAGUAUUUUAUUGAUUUGGUGAAACAAAGAAAAAAAAAAUAGAACAUGCUUACCGAUUACCAUCAACAUCAAGUAGAGAGCUGCGAGCCUACGACGCCGAAAAUAAACCUUUGGGUGCUGCAACGCCGAUGACCGAGGAGAUGGAAGCCGUAAAAUCCAGCAGCGUUUACUGGUGGGACUUGAGAUUAGGCGGUAUUUGCUGGUGGGACUUGAGAUUAGGCGGUAUUUGCUGGUGGGACAAGAAAUUGACUGCUACUGGAUGGCGGUGGAGUUGACAAAUGACUGCUGACGAUCGAUGGUAGGUUAACGGCAUGGCGCAACAAGGGGCUUGCGGCGUGCUCGGCGAGGACUGGGGAGAGUUGUGAGAGUUGAGAGAGGUUAGGGAUUUGUAAGCAGUGGGGGAGAUUUUGGGCAUUUGGGGAUUCGUGGGGCAGUUAUAAAUUUUUUAUUUUUUGAAUUUUUUUUAAUACAAAACCUCUCAGUUUUUUUUAAUAAAUUUUGAGUUCGGUUCGGUUCAAUUCUUAUUUCGGAUUUUGGUUCGGUUCGGUUUAAUCUGACCCAAACGCCCCUAGUUUGUCCUAUAAAACUUGGAGGAUAUAAACCUCAAACCUAGAAAGUUUU